Molecule: long non-coding RNA, 2849 nt
Filed under: Xyrichtys novacula (pearly razorfish)
Lineage: Eukaryota; Metazoa; Chordata; Actinopteri; Labriformes; Labridae
Source: RNAcentral
GUCUUUCUUUGACUGAAUGUAUUUUAUUGUAAAGCUAUAAGGAAGGAGUAAUUACAAGAUAUCAUUUCUUUGAUUUGCUCAGCAAAAAUAAAAGACCACAUUAUUUUUUAAAGUCAAACAUGCGGAUGCUGAUCAAAAGAGAACAGAUGAGGCUCAAACGAACACGCCACCCAACUUCCUCUAAGAAAACGAAAGGACCGAAAAAACAGCUAAACAAAGAAACGAAAGAAUAAAACAAAAUAAAUGUACAGCUUGUCUCGGACGAACGUGACCAAACGGAAAGGAAAGCGGUAAAGCCGGUGGAUGAUGGGAGGAGAGACGUCCUCCGCUCUGAGCCUGACUCAUCACUCCUACAUUUAAAGAGCCUACGGUACUUUAGACGAUAAAAUCCUACAAGGUCAGGGUCAGAUUUCCUUCACCGUGUCUGAAUAUAUAUAUUUUUUCUUCUUGAUUUUUUAAAAACCUACACUUCCAUGUACAUAAAACUGUACAAAAAACAAGGCAUCACUAGCAUUGUUCCUAUAUAAAUAUAACCAACCAACAAUUAGGCUACAAACGUGGACUUUCUGCAAAGACUGAAGUGUUUCGGCAGCUCGGACCUGAUGUUUUCUUCUUCGCGUUCAGAAAAACAGAAACAUGUUUGAUGAGCGUGGUAAAGUUUGGAAGCUCAGAGCCGCCAUCCACCGUUUUAUUACAUUCAUAAACCAGGACGGUUUUCCAAAACAAUGACCAGAAAUUUUACUGUAAAUUCAGAUUUUAAAGGCUGAUGGAGCCGACGUUUCCUCUCGAGACAGAUUUAUCUCAAAUUAACUUCAUUUUUAUAAAGUGAUGGUCGUAUUUUUCCAUGAAGCUCAAAAGUAAGAUCAGUUUUUAGCUUCAUGACGACACGUUAGCUGCUUUUCCUUGUGAAUUUGUAAAGAUAGUGUCGUGUGAAGGAAACCGUCCUCUUUAAAGACAUGUCCUCCUCGAUUUAGAGCCUUUUAAAGUCAGUCUUUGCUCUUACUCAGACUUUUUACAGCCAAAACUGUUGGAAAAAGUCCAAAGACCAUUUAAUGGAAAACUGGGGCUGCCUCUAUGGUCCACAUCGUGGUUUUGACUUCUAGAUCUCUUAGGGCGCACUCACAAAAGGUAGAUAUCCUCCAAAAAAGUCGUAUUUGUUUGACUUUCUCUUGGUGCUUCGUCCUGCACCAAGAGAAAGUCAAACAAUCCCUUUACUUUCACCCAAACGCCAAAGGUCAGGAUGCAGAAAAACAUCCCCUUUAAUUUGAAGGGAUGACAGGAAAGACGGUGUUAAUGUGACUCUGGUACUGGCGGAGUGAAUCAGCGUGAGGAGGCAUCAGUUGGCGAAGGUUUAAAGGCCGGACUUAGAGACGGACAUGAACAAAGACAGCAUUAAAAACUAACGGUAUUUUUUUUUUCUUACAGUGUGAUAAAUUCAUCAUGAAAAUGAAUUAGACAUAAUGAAGGGAAAUCAUGCAUGUAUAUUCAUCACGCCAUUUAAGCCUGGAGCUACCUUACCAGGGACAUCUGUGCCUACUGUGAGUGCGUCCUAACAAUCCAGUUAAUUCACUCUUGUACUUAAAAGCUGACAGACUGACGUAAAUCCUGAAAAUUCCCCAAAUGAAGAAUGGCUGCUUUCAGCUUCCGUACUUUACAAACUCAUCCUGAGAGGCCUGAUCCAGUUUUUGGGGGUCUGAAAACAAUCCUCACUGUUUGACUCCUGCUGGAUCCUGUUUUUUUUACAGGUAGAGAUGACGUAAAGAAACAGGAAACACAGAGUCCAGUCUGCCCGCUCAGAAAACAUCAUUUACACCGCCGCCUCUGGUAAAAAACAGCAACGACCAUUUAUAUUCAUACAGUAUGUCUAUAGCAGUGUUGAUUCCAUAACAUUGAUAAAAACAAGUGCGACAACAACAGAAAUGUAUAUUUAUAAAGUCGGCUUGUUUCAUGCUCAGCUGAAGACCCCAGCCUCAGUAUAAUACACAACCAAAAAACAGCCGAGCACGGCAAACUUCAUCACAUGGUUUCAUGUAGACCAAGUCGGCCGCUCGUGUGUUUUCACUCCGGUGUUCAAAAUCAGACUUCUGCGCUGAUUCGAUUAAAGAAAAGUCACAUUUAACCGACUGCAUUUGUGUAAAUCUCCCUAAAACCAGGAGAGAUGCAGCAGCAGAUGUUUUAUUCAAAGAGGAUUCCUCAAGAAGAAUUUGGUCAAUUUGACGGUUUGCUGAAAAGUAAAGUGGUAAAUGUCGGGUUUCAGGUGUGCCUUUCCCGGGAAAGAAACUUGGCGUUGAACCUCAAAUGCAUAAAUCAGUUUUGAAAUCAGAUCGAGGAAGGUGACACGCCGUCAAAGCGGGCAGGUCGGUGGAGCUUCAUGUUUUAUUAAAGGUGCACUCUGCAGAUUUUUCACGUCAGAGUGAAUUAAAUCUUUAGACUACAGCUCAGCCGGUGAUAAGGCCGCGUUAUCGUUUCCUUUGUGGCUCUGGAGGACGGCCAAUCAGCUCAAGGAUAUUCACUGACGAUGGCGGACAGGGACCCACGGGACAGGGUGGGACUGUUUGUGGAAAAGUUGCUCCAAUUUGCAAAGUUCUCGGGAACAUUCAAAAACUCAAGAAGUCCCAAACCUAAGACCAGGAGAGGCCAGAACUCGUCCCUGUAAGUGGACAGAGAGUCACUGACGGACUCUCUCUGCGUGUUUGAACAAAGUUAAAGUUUUCUUUAUAGACCCACAAACUGAAAACAUUCCUGUUUUUCCCUCGUUGAGGAGCAGAUUUCAGCUCAUAGCUGAACUCACGGCUCCAACGACUAGAUUAAAAAUAAAAGAGCAGAAAAGUUUCACAAUAAUUUAAAGC